UACGGAGGGAGCUAGCGUUGUUCGGAAUUACUGGGCGUAAAGCGCGCGUAGGCGGCUUUGUAAGUUAGAGGUGAAAGCCCGGGGCUCAACCCCGGAACUGCCUUUAAAACUGCAUCGCUUGAAUCCGGGAGAGGUGAGUGGAAUUCCGAGUGUAGAGGUGAAAUUCGUAGAUAUUCGGAAGAACACCAGUGGCGAAGGCGGCUCACUGGACCGGUAUUGACGCUGAGACGCGAAAGCGUGGGGAGCGAACAGG
This 253-nucleotide ribosomal RNA is filed under the name uncultured bacterium. Its description in RNAcentral is "partial 16S ribosomal RNA". It matches the Rfam family "Bacterial small subunit ribosomal RNA", at positions 524 to 776 of the family's 1533-position model. The record is from RNAcentral.